Molecule: ribosomal RNA, 488 nt
Filed under: uncultured bacterium
Lineage: Bacteria
Description: bacterial SSU rRNA
Rfam family: Bacterial small subunit ribosomal RNA
Source: RNAcentral
GAACGCUAGCGGCAGGCUUAACACAUGCAAGUCGAGGGGCAGCGUGAUGAAGUAGCAAUACGGAUUUGACGGCGACCGGCGCACGGGUGCGUAACGCGUAUGUAACCUACCUUUAACAGGGGGAUAACACUGAGAAAUUGGUACUAAUACCCCAUAACACUUUAGGAGGCAUCUCCUGGGGUUAAAAGUUCCGGCGGUUAAAGAUGGACAUGCGUUGUAUUAGCUAGAUGGUGAGGUAACGGUUCACCAUGGCGACGAUACAUAGGGGGACUGAGAGGUUAACCCCCCACACUGGUACUGAGACACGGACCAGACUCCUACGGGAGGCAGCAGUGAGGAAUAUUGGUCAAUGGACGCAAGUCUGAACCAGCCAUGCCGCGUGCAGGAUGACGGCUCUAUGAGUUGUAAACUGCUUUUGUAUGAGGGUAAUAUCAGGUACGUGUACCUGCUUGAAAGUAUCAUACGAAUAAGGAUCGGCUAACUCCGUG